GAGUAACACGUAGGUGACCUACCCUGGAGAGGGGGACAACCAGUGGAAACGCUGGCUAAUACCCCAGAUGUCAAUAUAGUUAGAGAGUAUAGACUAAAGGAUGUCAACAGACAGACCGCUCCAGGAGGGGCCUGCGACCCAUCAGCUAGUUGGUAGGGUAACGGCCUACCAAGGCGAAGACGGGUAGGGGGCGUGAGAGCGCGACCCCCCACACUGGUACUGACACACGGACCAGAUACCUACGGGUAGCAGCAGCAAGGAAUAUUGCGCAAUGGGCGAAAGCCUGACGCAGCAACGCCGCGUGGAGGAAGAAGACCUUCGGGUUGUAAACUCCUUUUCUGGGGGAAGAGGAAGGACGGUACCCCAGGAAUAAGGCCCGGCUAACUACGUGCCAGCAGCCGCGGUAAAGCGUAGGGGUCAAGCGUUAUCCGGAAUUACUGGGCGUAAAGCGCGUGUAGGCGGUUGCGUAAGUCGGACGUGAAAGCUCCUGGCUCAACUGGGAGAGGCCGUUCGAAACUAGGUAACUAGAGGGUGGUAGAGGCAAGUGGAAUUCCCGGUGUAGUGGUGAAAUGCGUAGAUAUCGGGAGGAACACCAGUGGCGAAGGCGGCUUGCUGGGCCAACCCUGACGCUGAGAUGCGAAAGCUAGGGGAGAGAACGGGAUUAGAAACCCCGGUAUUCCUAGCCGUAAACGAUGUCAACUAGGUGUAGGUGGUUAUUGACCCCAUCUGUACUGUAGCAAACGCGUUAAGUUGACCGCCUGGGGAAUACGGCCGCAAGGCUAAAACUCAAAGGAAUUGACGGGGACCCGCACAAGCAGCGGAGCGUGUGGUUUAAUUCGAGGCUACGCGAAGAACCUUACCAGGGUUUGACAUAUGCGUGGUAGGGAGUCGAAAGAGGACCGACCCUUCGGGGAGCGCAUACAGGUGCUGCAUGGCUGUCGUCAGCUCGUGCCG
Molecule: ribosomal RNA, 954 nt
Filed under: uncultured organism
Description: bacterial SSU rRNA
Rfam family: Bacterial small subunit ribosomal RNA
Source: RNAcentral